UACGAAGGGGGCUAGCGUUGCUCGGAAUCACUGGGCGUAAAGCGCACGUAGGCGGCUCUUUAAGUCAGGGGUGAAAUCCCAAGGCUCAACCUUGGAACUGCCCUUGAUACUGGGGAUCUCGGGUCCGGAAGAGGUUGGUGGAACUCCGAGUGUAGAGGUGAAAUUCGUAGAUAUUCGGAAGAACACCAGUGGCGAAGGCGGCCAACUGGUCCGGCACUGACGCUGAGGUGCGAAAGCGUGGGGAGCAAACAGG
Molecule: ribosomal RNA, 253 nt
Filed under: uncultured bacterium
Lineage: Bacteria
Description: partial 16S ribosomal RNA
Rfam family: Bacterial small subunit ribosomal RNA
Source: RNAcentral